Molecule: ribosomal RNA, 440 nt
Filed under: uncultured bacterium
Lineage: Bacteria
Description: partial 16S ribosomal RNA
Rfam family: Bacterial small subunit ribosomal RNA
Source: RNAcentral
CCUACGGGUGGCAGCAGUAGGGAAUAUUGCUCAAUGGGGGAAACCCUGAAGCAGCAAAGCCGCGUGGAGGAUGAAGGUUUUCGGAUUGUAAACUCCUUUUGUUAGAGAAGAUAAUGACGGUAUCUAACGAAUAAGCACCGGCUAACUCCGUGCCAGCAGCCGCGGUAAUACGGCGGGUGCAAGCGUUACUCGGAAGCACUGGGCGUAAAGGGGGCGUAGGCGGGUUAGCAAGUCAGAUGUGAAAUCCUAUGGCUUAACCAUAGAACUGCAUUUGAAACUGUCAUUCUAGAGUAUGGGAGAGGUAGGUGGAAUUCGUGGUGUAGGGGUAAAAUGCGUAGAGAUCACGAGGAACACUGAUUGCGAAGGCGACCUGCUGGAAUAUAACUGACGCUGAUGCGCGAAAGCGUGGGGAGCAAACAGGAUUAGAUACCCUAGUAGUC